AAAUGAAUUGACGGGGACCCGCACAAGCGGUGGAUGAUGUGGUUUAAUUCGAUGCAACGCGAAAAACCUUACCUACCCUUGACAUGUCAAGAAGUUUCUAGAGAUAGAUUCGUGCUCGAAAGAGAGCUUGAACACAGGUGCUGCAUGGCCGUCGUCAGCUCGUGUCGUGAGAUGUUGGGUUAAGUCCCGCAACGAGCGCAACCCUUGUCAUUAGUUGCUACAUUCAGUUGGGCACUCUAAUGAGACUGCCGGUGACAAACCGGAGGAAGGUGGGGAUGACGUCAGGUCCUCAUGGCCCUUAUGGGUAGGGCUACACACGUCAUACAAUGGCCGGUACAGAGGGCUGCCAACCCGCGAGGGGGAGCUAAUCCCAGAAAACCGGUCGUAGUCCGGAUCGCAGUCUGCAACUCGACUGCGUGAAGUCGGAAUCGCUAGUAAUCGCGGAUCAGCAUGUCGCGGUGAAUACGUUCCCGGGUCUUGUACACACCGCCCGU
This 494-nucleotide ribosomal RNA is filed under the name uncultured bacterium. RNAcentral describes it as "bacterial SSU rRNA". It matches the Rfam family "Bacterial small subunit ribosomal RNA", at positions 903 to 1397 of the family's 1533-position model. The record is from RNAcentral.